Molecule: unclassified non-coding RNA, 698 nt
Filed under: Hevea brasiliensis (rubber tree)
Lineage: Eukaryota; Viridiplantae; Streptophyta; Magnoliopsida; Malpighiales; Euphorbiaceae
Source: RNAcentral
AAAUUAUUGAGUUGUCUUUUUUGCUUUUCUUUUAUUAUGUAUUUCCUUGUGUGGGGUAUUCUUGUAAAAUUAAUACCAAACAAAUUGUUCAUAACUUGUUUCUUUGAAAGUUAAAUUUAUUUUAUGUAUUUAGAGAAACUCUUGGAUAAUGUUAAUAUUAGGAUAUAGUUUCUCAGUUAUCUAUGUGUCUACACUCUAUAUUUGUACGUACAUUUCACAUAUGAGCUUUUAUGUAAUACCUGUCUUUUUUAUCUCAAUAUAGGCUUGAGUAUUUAAUGAGCCCAGAAUUUUGAACAUCUUUCCCUUUUUUUUUCUUCUCUAUGUAUAGAAAACUGCAUUAAAAUUAAGGGAUCAAAGUGGGUGCCAACCAAUAGGUUAAAAAGUUUGAGGAUAGACUAUAGAGAGCAUCUGCUAUGCAAGAGCAACAAAAGAACCAAGAGAGAAUCAUCUGCAAGAUGAAUAAUCUAUCAAGUCAAUGGCUGUUUGUGUGUUCAUAUUAUUUGGCCAACUGUCCGAAAAAUGCAAACCGAAGUAAUAGUUUAAGCAAGACAGAUUAAAUACAGUAUUUUGGAUCAAAAUCGUUAAAUUUUAAAUAGUUCAAAUCAAGUUACUUUCAGUAAGAAAUAAAUAGUAUAUCUAUUGUAAAUUGUCAAUGCUAGUCCUUUAGAUAUAUUUUUGGUGUGAUAUUUGUUAUUAAU